AGAUUGAACGCUGGCGGCAGGCCUAACACAUGCAAGUCGAGCGGUAGAGAGGUGCUUGCACCUCUUGAGAGCGGCGGACGGGUGAGUAAUGCCUAGGAAUCUGCCUAGUGGUGGGGGAUAAUGUUCGGAAACGGACGCUAAUACCGCAUACGUCCUACGGGAGAAAGCGGGGGACCUUCGGGCCUCGCGCCAUUAGAUGAGCCUAGGUCGGAUUAGC
RNAcentral lists this ribosomal RNA (217 nucleotides) under uncultured soil bacterium. RNAcentral's name for it is "partial 16S ribosomal RNA". It matches the Rfam family "Bacterial small subunit ribosomal RNA", at positions 26 to 245 of the family's 1533-position model. The record is from RNAcentral.